RNAcentral lists this ribosomal RNA (2160 nucleotides) under Salmonella enterica subsp. enterica serovar Enteritidis. Its description in RNAcentral is "partial 23S ribosomal RNA". It matches the Rfam family "Bacterial large subunit ribosomal RNA", at positions 663 to 2803 of the family's 2925-position model. Lineage: Bacteria; Pseudomonadati; Pseudomonadota; Gammaproteobacteria; Enterobacterales; Enterobacteriaceae. The record is from RNAcentral.
GAGCCGGAGGGAAACCGAGUCUUAAUUGGGCGUUAAGUUGCAGGGUAUAGACCCGAAACCCGGUGAUCUAGCCAUGGGCAGGUUGAAGGUUGGGUAACACUAACUGGAGGACCGAACCGACUAAUGUUGAAAAAUUAGCGGAUGACCUGUGGCUGGGGGUGAAAGGCCAAUCAAACCGGGAGAUAGCUGGUUCUCCCCGAAAGCUAUUUAGGUAGCGCCUCGUGAAUUCAUCUCCGGGGGUAGAGCACUGUUUCGGCUAGGGGGCCAUCCCGGCUUACCAACCCGAUGCAAACUGCGAAUACCGGAGAAUGUUAUCACGGGAGACACACGGCGGGUGCUAACGUCCGUCGUGAAGAGGGAAACAACCCAGACCGCCAGCUAAGGUCCCAAAGUCAUGGUUAAGUGGGAAACGAUGUGGGAAGGCCCAGACAGCCAGGAUGUUGGCUUAGAAGCAGCCAUCAUUUAAAGAAAGCGUAAUAGCUCACUGGUCGAGUCGGCCUGCGCGGAAGAUGUAACGGGGCUAAACCAUGCACCGAAGCUGCGGCAGCGACGCUUAUGCGUUGUUGGGUAGGGGAGCGUUCUGUAAGCCUGCGAAGGUGGCCUGUGAGGGUUGCUGGAGGUAUCAGAAGUGCGAAUGCUGACAUAAGUAACGAUAAAGCGGGUGAAAAGCCCGCUCGCCGGAAGACCAAGGGUUCCUGUCCAACGUUAAUCGGGGCAGGGUGAGUCGACCCCUAAGGCGAGGCCGAAAGGCGUAGUCGAUGGGAAACGGGUUAAUAUUCCCGUACUUGGUGUUACUGCGAAGGGGGGACGGAGAAGGCUAUGUUGGCCGGGCGACGGUUGUCCCGGUUUAAGCGUGUAGGUGUGUGUUCCAGGUAAAUCCGGUUCACUUUAACACUGAGGCGUGACGACGAGGCACUACGGUGCUGAAGCAACAAAUGCCCUGCUUCCAGGAAAAGCCUCUAAGCAUCAGGUAACAUCAAAUCGUACCCCAAACCGACACAGGUGGUCAGGUAGAGAAUACCAAGGCGCUUGAGAGAACUCGGGUGAAGGAACUAGGCAAAAUGGUGCCGUAACUUCGGGAGAAGGCACGCUGACACGUAGGUGAAGUGAUUUACUCAUGGAGCUGAAGUCAGUCGAAGAUACCAGCUGGCUGCAACUGUUUAUUAAAAACACAGCACUGUGCAAACACGAAAGUGGACGUAUACGGUGUGACGCCUGCCCGGUGCCGGAAGGUUAAUUGAUGGGGUCAGCGCAAGCGAAGCUCCUGAUCGAAGCCCCGGUAAACGGCGGCCGUAACUAUAACGGUCCUAAGGUAGCGAAAUUCCUUGUCGGGUAAGUUCCGACCUGCACGAAUGGCGUAAUGAUGGCCAGGCUGUCUCCACCCGAGACUCAGUGAAAUUGAACUCGCUGUGAAGAUGCAGUGUACCCGCGGCAAGACGGAAAGACCCCGUGAACCUUUACUAUAGCUUGACACUGAACAUUGAGCCUUGAUGUGUAGGAUAGGUGGGAGGCUUUGAAGUGUGGACGCCAGUCUGCAUGGAGCCGACCUUGAAAUACCACCCUUUAAUGUUUGAUGUUCUAACGUGGACCCGUUACCCGGGUUGCGGACAGUGUCUGGUGGGUAGUUUGACUGGGGCGGUCUCCUCCUAAAGAGUAACGGAGGAGCACGAAGGUUGGCUAAUCCUGGUCGGACAUCAGGAGGUUAGUGCAAUGGCAUAAGCCAGCUUGACUGCGAGCGUGACGGCGCGAGCAGGUGCGAAAGCAGGUCAUAGUGAUCCGGUGGUUCUGAAUGGAAGGGCCAUCGCUCAACGGAUAAAAGGUACUCCGGGGAUAACAGGCUGAUACCGCCCAAGAGUUCAUAUCGACGGCGGUGUUUGGCACCUCGAUGUCGGCUCAUCACAUCCUGGGGCUGAAGUAGGUCCCAAGGGUAUGGCUGUUCGCCAUUUAAAGUGGUACGCGAGCUGGGUUUAGAACGUCGUGAGACAGUUCGGUCCCUAUCUGCCGUGGGCGCUGGAGAACUGAGGGGGGCUGCUCCUAGUACGAGAGGACCGGAGUGGACGCAUCACUGGUGUUCGGGUUGUCAUGCCAAUGGCACUGCCCGGUAGCUAAAUGCGGAAGAGAUAAGUGCUGAAAGCAUCUAAGCACGAAACUUGCCCCGAG